This is a long non-coding RNA of Teleopsis dalmanni, 656 nucleotides long. RefSeq lists it as uncharacterized. Lineage: Eukaryota; Metazoa; Arthropoda; Insecta; Diptera; Diopsidae. The record is from RefSeq and is a predicted model, not a curated record. The transcript has 4 exons.
AAAUAAAUAAUUUAAGAUAAUUUGCACUCGAAAUUGAUAUAUUUGUCGAACACUUCAAAUCGCGCUUAAAUAAUUGACGACGAAACAGAUUGAAAUAAAACUGAGAGGUAUAUUCUCCAGCUUAAUCGCAGACGUCAUUAAGUUCUCCUAAGAGAAACUUGGUCUGGAUCUUAUAAGAUGUACACAGAGACUGAACUUUUGUAAUAUAUGCCAAAAUCCAAAAUCCAAAUAUUCCCAGGAUUCGCUAUCAGCAUUUCUCUGCUGAUUUGAUCAGUACCAGUAGUUACUGAUCUAAUACCACUGCACAAGAUUUUUGGAUUAAUUGAUGUUUGACGUGCCUAAGCAAACACUAUAUUUGCGAAAUUCAAAUAUCUGACUACUUUAAAGAUUUGAUAGUAGCAGAUUUGCAUAAAGGACUACUGUGCGUUUUGUUUACUUUAGCAAUAUCCUUUUUUUCUGCCGAAGCCGAAAAACUCAGUCCUACAAACAAGAAUUGUUGUUUAUCUGAGGAAGAUAAGAAUAUUGUUUGAAUAUUCAAGCAAGUUUACUUGGCCAAUAUCAACAAGUUUUGCGAAAACUUAUGUUAUAGUUGCCGAUAUCCAAAACUGCAAUUCAGAUUUGGUAGUAAUAUACUUUACUGCACAUACUACGGUACG